UAAUAAGUGUUUUAUGGCACUUUUUAAAUCCAUAUCCACCUUGUGUGCAAUGUCAGUCGAUCUUCUUCAUGGAGAUCGACCAAACAUCAACCUUUAUUUUUUAACUCUUUGUCUUAAAAAUAUUAUGAAUAAACAAUUCAAAAUA
This 145-nucleotide unclassified non-coding RNA is filed under the name soil metagenome. RNAcentral describes it as "partial internal transcribed spacer 1". The record is from RNAcentral.